RNAcentral lists this long non-coding RNA (384 nucleotides) under Anser brachyrhynchus (Pink-footed goose). RNAcentral's name for it is "lncRNA (ENSABRG00000010622.1)". Lineage: Eukaryota; Metazoa; Chordata; Aves; Anseriformes; Anatidae. The record is from RNAcentral.
ACUUGUGAAGUCACAGACAGCUCAGUUUGCAUAUCUGAAACGCAAGUGGCUGGUGGGGCAUGGUGUGAAAAUGCCUUUAUUACAAGGAACUUAAGCUAAAACUAGGAGGCCACCACUUAGCACUUUACUGAUUGUGAAGAUCAUCACAUCAGAUUCUCCACCAAACUGCUCUGAUGAGCAGUGUCAUCCCUGGACAGCUAGCAGGAUAUACAUUUCCAUUCACAAAUAUCUAUGUGGAGACACAGAACCUGCUGCACUGUUGGGGAAGUUUUGCUGCCAAUGUCUGAAUGGAUAUGAGCAAAAAGACCAAAACUAUUCUCUGUCUUUGAUGCCAAUCAGAAUUGACACAGACAUAUCUGAGACUCUUUUUACAGGAGGUAUGUG